RNAcentral lists this ribosomal RNA (1501 nucleotides) under Klebsiella pneumoniae. Its description in RNAcentral is "bacterial SSU rRNA". It matches the Rfam family "Bacterial small subunit ribosomal RNA". Lineage: Bacteria; Pseudomonadati; Pseudomonadota; Gammaproteobacteria; Enterobacterales; Enterobacteriaceae. The record is from RNAcentral.
AGAGUUUGAUCCUGGCUCAGAUUGAACGCUGGCGGCAGGCCUAACACAUGCAAGUCGAGCGGUAGCACAGAGAGCUUGCUCUCGGGUGACGAGCGGCGGACGGGUGAGUAAUGUCUGGGAAACUGCCUGAUGGAGGGGGAUAACUACUGGAAACGGUAGCUAAUACCGCAUAACGUCGCAAGACCAAAGUGGGGGACCUUCGGGCCUCAUGCCAUCAGAUGUGCCCAGAUGGGAUUAGCUAGUAGGUGGGGUAACGGCUCACCUAGGCGACGAUCCCUAGCUGGUCUGAGAGGAUGACCAGCCACACUGGAACUGAGACACGGUCCAGACUCCUACGGGAGGCAGCAGUGGGGAAUAUUGCACAAUGGGCGCAAGCCUGAUGCAGCCAUGCCGCGUGUGUGAAGAAGGCCUUCGGGUUGUAAAGCACUUUCAGCGGGGAGGAAGGCGGUGAGGUUAAUAACCUCACCGAUUGACGUUACCCGCAGAAGAAGCACCGGCUAACUCCGUGCCAGCAGCCGCGGUAAUACGGAGGGUGCAAGCGUUAAUCGGAAUUACUGGGCGUAAAGCGCACGCAGGCGGUCUGUCAAGUCGGAUGUGAAAUCCCCGGGCUCAACCUGGGAACUGCAUUCGAAACUGGCAGGCUAGAGUCUUGUAGAGGGGGGUAGAAUUCCAGGUGUAGCGGUGAAAUGCGUAGAGAUCUGGAGGAAUACCGGUGGCGAAGGCGGCCCCCUGGACAAAGACUGACGCUCAGGUGCGAAAGCGUGGGGAGCAAACAGGAUUAGAUACCCUGGUAGUCCACGCCGUAAACGAUGUCGAUUUGGAGGUUGUGCCCUUGAGGCGUGGCUUCCGGAGCUAACGCGUUAAAUCGACCGCCUGGGGAGUACGGCCGCAAGGUUAAAACUCAAAUGAAUUGACGGGGGCCCGCACAAGCGGUGGAGCAUGUGGUUUAAUUCGAUGCAACGCGAAGAACCUUACCUGGUCUUGACAUCCACAGAACUUUCCAGAGAUGGAUUGGUGCCUUCGGGAACUGUGAGACAGGUGCUGCAUGGCUGUCGUCAGCUCGUGUUGUGAAAUGUUGGGUUAAGUCCCGCAACGAGCGCAACCCUUAUCCUUUGUUGCCAGCGGUUCGGCCGGGAACUCAAAGGAGACUGCCAGUGAUAAACUGGAGGAAGGUGGGGAUGACGUCAAGUCAUCAUGGCCCUUACGACCAGGGCUACACACGUGCUACAAUGGCAUAUACAAAGAGAAGCGACCUCGCGAGAGCAAGCGGACCUCAUAAAGUAUGUCGUAGUCCGGAUUGGAGUCUGCAACUCGACUCCAUGAAGUCGGAAUCGCUAGUAAUCGUAGAUCAGAAUGCUACGGUGAAUACGUUCCCGGGCCUUGUACACACCGCCCGUCACACCAUGGGAGUGGGUUGCAAAAGAAGUAGGUAGCUUAACCUUCGGGAGGGCGCUUACCACUUUGUGAUUCAUGACUGGGGUGAAGUCGUAACAAGGUAACC